UACGUAGGGUGCGAGCGUUGUCCGGAAUUAUUGGGCGUAAAGAGCUCGUAGGCGGUCUGUCGCGUCGGUCGUGAAAACUUGGGGCUUAACCCCGAGCCUGCUUCCGAUACGGGCAGACUAGAGGUAUGCAGGGGAGAACGGAAUUCCUGGUGUAGCGGUGAAAUGCGCAGAUAUCAGGAGGAACACCGGUGGCGAAGGCGGCAUCCUGGACCGACACUGACGCUGAGGAGCGAAAGCCAGGGGAGCAAACGGG
RNAcentral lists this ribosomal RNA (253 nucleotides) under uncultured bacterium. Its description in RNAcentral is "partial 16S ribosomal RNA". It matches the Rfam family "Bacterial small subunit ribosomal RNA", at positions 524 to 776 of the family's 1533-position model. The record is from RNAcentral.